AGAGGUGUGGCCAAGCGGUAAGGCAGCGGAAUUUGACUCCGCCAAGAGAGGUAACGCUCUCGCUCGUUGGUUCGAAUCCAACCAUCUCUGCCA
This 93-nucleotide transfer RNA is filed under the name Butyricicoccus sp. AM28-25. Its description in RNAcentral is "tRNA-Gln". It matches the Rfam family "tRNA". Rfam says of the family: Transfer RNA (tRNA) molecules are approximately 80 nucleotides in length. Lineage: Bacteria; Bacillati; Bacillota; Clostridia; Eubacteriales; Butyricicoccaceae. The record is from RNAcentral.